AUGCAGGUGCCCCCGAGAUGGUGUGUGGAUAAGAUGGACUGUUGGGAGGCGUUGGUGGAUGUGUGGUGCUCUCCCGAAUGGCUAGUCGAACAACAGAGUGCGAAGGAUAAGCGUGACCAAAUGGAAGGUGUGCCACACCAUCAAGGGAACUCCAACCUGUUUGAGUACGGGAAUAACUGGGCGCACCACCACAAGAAGCCUGUGCCAAGUCUGUUCGACCUCUAUGGCAUGGCCCAUAUGGCCCCGUACAAGAAGGCCAAGCCAUUCACGGAGUCUGACCUAGAUCAUCUAGAGAGCUUCACCAACAUCUCCUCCCACCACAAGCUUGUGAAGUACAGAGACGAGGGGAAGGCGAGGAAAGGGGAGGACUUUAACCCGAGCCAGGAUCCUUUUGAUACAGAGCUGGUGAUGAUAUCUGGUGGCGGGAGGUCCCAUGGCUCUCAAGGCAUUAGUGAUGGACUGAUACGUUGUCCUAAGACUCUCCCGCAGAUCAAGAAGCGCCUGAGUAGCUCUGAUCCUCAGAUAACACCUCGUGCACGGCUUGCGGAGCUUGCCAUGGCGGCAUUGGUUGAGAAAGAGAGAUUGAAGACCCAGACGCUUUUGGAGGAGGCAAAAAGGGAGGCGGCGGAGAGGGAGAGGGAGAUGGAGGAGAGGACGACUAAGCUGUUGGAGGAGGAGAGGAACCGGAACGACAACGCUAACCGGGCCCUAUACAAGCUCAUCGUGAUCAUGUGCGAGAAAAACGGUCAGGCCCCUCCGCCGAUGCUCCAGAUUGCUUCGGCGACCACGCAUGGCUCUCGACAAGCAUCGACCAAUCCUUCUGCGUCUGCCAAUGUCGGAACCCCGACCGGUCCUUCACCUCCGUCUGGCACUGGCGCAGCCCCGACCAUUCCUACACCUCCGUGA
RNAcentral lists this ribosomal RNA (906 nucleotides) under Triticum aestivum (bread wheat). Its description in RNAcentral is "partial small subunit ribosomal RNA". Lineage: Eukaryota; Viridiplantae; Streptophyta; Magnoliopsida; Poales; Poaceae. The record is from RNAcentral.